Molecule: long non-coding RNA, 2089 nt
Organism: Papaver somniferum (opium poppy)
Lineage: Eukaryota; Viridiplantae; Streptophyta; Magnoliopsida; Ranunculales; Papaveraceae
Exons: 3
Source: RefSeq, a predicted model, not a curated record
CAGUCGAGUAGCAGGCGAUAUUGCCUUUAGGACAGCGUAUCGUAUACGUGCCUCUACAUUUUCUGUGCAUCUCCAGCAACAUCGGUUUGAGCUAAGUAUCUUCUUCUCAGUUACAUUAUUAGUUCUGUCUCCAACACUAAGAAGCCAAAGAUCAAGAACCAGAUGAGUGUGGUGCUCCAGUAACUGAUCUUAGUGCUACUGAAUAUAGUGCUGCUAUUACAGUAUCGAAUCAUCAAAGGGGUGGCAAUGCUCAAUGGUCUGUCACUGCUCAAGCCAUUGCAGCUGGUACGGAUUGGACGAGCAGAUGAGAAAAAUGGUGUACAGGCGUAGAAAAGUAAGGCUUCUCCCCUAAAUGGCGCAACUGUGAAGUCACACCAUCCGUGACGAGAUUGGAGGCAUGUCAUAAUCAGGCAUGCAAGUCCACUUCGACGGCAUUUAGUGUGAGGUGAUUAUGGAGUUAAAACCCUAAACCACCAGCUUUUCUUUUUCGUGUUGCUCUUCUUCUUUUUGUUUAUGCUUCUCUCGGGUUUCUUCCGGGUCUUCUCUUCUGAAACUAUAUAGUGGUCUCUUCUAUUCGUCUUUCUUUUUUUUUUUCUUUUGAUAUUCCAGGUGAUAGUAUAUUAAUAAGAUUCAGAUUCUUACUCCAAAGGUAAGGUUUUAUUUUUUACAGCUAGGGUUUUUGAUUUGAAGUGGUGGGUUGUGAUUAAUUAGUGGAUUUAAGAUAUAAAAAUUGCAAACUUUUUCUUAGGUCCGGGGAUUUCAAUUGGAUUACUUGGUUAGGGUUUGAUUUUCGGAUUUAGGGUUAAUACAAAGUAAACAAGGUGAAAAGGAUAUGAAUGAAUAUAGUACUUCUUCUUACAGUGAGAAAGGGGAGCUCAAACUGUGAAAAGGAUAUUCCUUUAGUUAUGGAAAAGUUUCCAAAACAUGAAUAUACUGUGGUGAUUUAGGUCGCAAGGAGCAAGAGUAGUUUGAAGAGCAAAAGUAAAUCCACGUACAUUUCUCAUGUUUCUUUGUUAUGAAAUAUUUUAUCUUGGCAACAUUUUGUUACUAACCAUUUUCCUUUGCAGUGCAUUAUUAAGCUUAAACGUCUUCAAUUUAAACAUGUUAGCAGGUACAAUAAAUUAUUUUAGUUAUUAUGAUGAUGGUAUUGUGUGGUGGCUCUGCCUGGGUGGGAUACUAUUUACAUUUACAUGGAAUAACAGAGGCCUGAGUUUAGUGAUGAAGCGUGCUUAUCUUAUCAUAUCUAUUUGGUCCAUUUUUAAUUACCCAUUGUAAUAUAUGCUUAUCAAUUAUAUCUAUUUACUCUUUUUUGCAAGAGUCCCCUGAGGCUAAACAGAUGUUGGAGUUCGGAAAUUUGUUUACUGCACAUUAGGAGAAGAAGAUAAUGCUCACUGCAAUUUGGCGGAAUCUAGCUUUACUUUGAAGCUGAUAUUCUUUUGUACUACUAGCCAAAAUUCUUUUGGAAAGAAACUUCUGUUUACUGCACAUUAGGAGAAGAAGAUAAUGCUCACUGCAAUUUGGCGGAAUCCAGUUUUGAGCUGAUAUCUCUUUGUACUACUAAACAAAUUUUUUUUGGAAAGAAACUUCCUGAAUAAUUAUCUGAAACCCAAGUCAAGGUUCUGUUGAUCUAUACACCGUCAGGCGUGCAACACCGAGUCAAAAGCCAAGCCACAUCUAAUCAAAAAUGUAUCGCGAUGGGGCUGGACGAAGCUGUGCAACACCAAAUCAAAAAUGAAUCGGGACUUGGCGAGGCGAAGCCGAGCCACCCCUAAUUAAAAAUGUAUCGCGGCGGGGAGGGGCGAAACUGUGCAAUAGCAAAUAAAAAAUGAAUCGGGACUAGGCAAGGUGAAGCCAAACCGCCCCUAAUCAAAAAUGUAUCGCGACUAAUAAUGAUUAUGUGUGCGUAGCCGCCCGGGCAUAGCCCGGGAACAAAAUCUAAUUUCUUCAUUAGAGCCCUAUUAAUAAUGCUACGGAAACAUUACUUCAAGACUGAUAAUGUGAGGCACACCAAUUUUUUUUUCUUUUUCUUUUGGGGCAUACUCAAUAAACAUAAAAUAGAGUCGCUACGUAGCUAAACCAACAACCACAU